CCUAGCAUGUAUGGAGAAAACAAAACAAAACUGGUUAGCAUCUCGUCUUUUGUACGUUCUUAUUGCUACUCCGUGGAAGAGGAAACGACGUUUAUGGCAGUGAUAUAAAUCAAGUCUCCGACCGCGCAGCAUCCUGUGACCAUUCUUUAUGAUAUCAGGCUAGCUGCUAGCACAUGUCCGGUUUUUGACAGGCUUCCUUUGACGUCCGUCAUGGCGGAGCGGGCGGGCGGAGUUUGGAAGAGAGUGACGUCAAGUGCAAAGGGCCAAUAAGCUUUUACAAAUAUGUAAAAAAUAAAAAAAAACUAUUUUGUUGUUUGUCUUUUAAAUAAAAGUUACAUACCGCACCUUUAA
Molecule: long non-coding RNA, 351 nt
Organism: Poeciliopsis prolifica (blackstripe livebearer)
Lineage: Eukaryota; Metazoa; Chordata; Actinopteri; Cyprinodontiformes; Poeciliidae
Exons: 2
Source: RefSeq, a predicted model, not a curated record